GAUGAACGCUGGCGGCGUGCCUAAUACAUGCAAGUCGAGCGAACAGACGAGGAGCUUGCUCCUCUGACGUUAGCGGCGGACGGGUGAGUAACACGUGGAUAACCUACCUAUAAGACUGGGAUAACUUCGGGAAACCGGAGCUAAUACCGGAUAAUAUAUUGAACCGCAUGGUUCAAUAGUGAAAGACGGUUUUGCUGUCACUUAUAGAUGGAUCCGCGCCGCAUUAGCUAGUUGGUAAGGUAACGGCUUACCAAGGCAACGAUGCGUAGCCGACCUGAGAGGGUGAUCGGCCACACUGGAACUGAGACACGGUCCAGACUCCUACGGGAGGCAGCAGUAGGAAAUCUUCCGCAAUGGGCGAAAGCUUGACGGAGCAACGCCGCGUGAGUGAUGAAGGUCUUCGGAUCGUAAAACUCUGUUAUUAGGGAAGAACAAAUGUGUAAGUAACUAUGCACGUCUUGACGGUACCUAAUCAGAAAGCCACGGCUAACUACGUG
Molecule: ribosomal RNA, 497 nt
Filed under: uncultured bacterium
Lineage: Bacteria
Description: partial 16S ribosomal RNA
Rfam family: Bacterial small subunit ribosomal RNA
Source: RNAcentral